Molecule: ribosomal RNA, 510 nt
Filed under: uncultured bacterium
Lineage: Bacteria
Description: partial 16S ribosomal RNA
Rfam family: Bacterial small subunit ribosomal RNA
Source: RNAcentral
GACGAACGCUGGCGGCGUGCUUAACACAUGCAAGUCGAACGAAGAGCGACGGAAGCUUGCUUCUAUCAAUCUUAGUGGCGAACGGGUGAGUAACGCGUAAUCAACCUGCCCUUCAGAGGGGGACAACAGUUGGAAACGACUGCUAAUACCGCAUACGAUCUAACCUCGGCAUCGAGGAUAGAUGAAAGGUGGCCUCUACAUGUAAGCUAUCACUGAAGGAGGGGAUUGCGUCUGAUUAGCUAGUUGGAGGGGUAACGGCCCACCAAGGCGAUGAUCAGUAGCCGGUCUGAGAGGAUGAACGGCCACAUUGGGACUGAGACACGGCCCAGACUCCUACGGGAGGCAGCAGUGGGGAAUCUUCCGCAAUGGACGAAAGUCUGACGGAGCAACGCCGCGUGAGUGAUGACGGCCUUCGGGUUGUAAAGCUCUGUUAAUCGGGACGAAAGGCCUUGUUGCGAAUAGUGAGAAGGAUUGACGGUACCGGAAUAGAAAGCCACGGCUAACUACGUG